GAUGAACGCUGGCGGCGUGCCUAAUACAUGCAAGUCGAGCGAACAGAUAAGGAGCUUGCUCCUUUGAAGUUAGCGGCGGACGGGUGAGUAACACGUGGGUAACCUACCUAUAAGACUGGGAUAACUUCGGGAAACCGGAGCUAAUACCGGAUAACAUUUAGAACCGCAUGGUUCUAAAGUGAAAGAUGGUUUUGCUAUCACUUAUAGAUGGACCCGCGCCGUAUUAGCUAGUUGGUAAGGUAACGGCUUACCAAGGCGACGAUACGUAGCCGACCUGAGAGGGUGAUCGGCCACACUGGAACUGAGACACGGUCCAGACUCCUACGGGAGGCAGCAGUAGGGAAUCUUCCGCAAUGGGCGAAAGCCUGACGGAGCAACGCCGCGUGAGUGAUGAAGGGUUUCGGCUCGUAAAACUCUGUUAUUAGGGAAGAACAAAUGUGGAAGUAACUGUGCACAUCUUGACGGUACCUAAUCAGAAAGCCACGGCUAACUACGUG
This 497-nucleotide ribosomal RNA is filed under the name uncultured bacterium. RNAcentral's name for it is "partial 16S ribosomal RNA". It matches the Rfam family "Bacterial small subunit ribosomal RNA", at positions 28 to 507 of the family's 1533-position model. The record is from RNAcentral.